AACGAACGCUGGCGGCAUGCCUAACACAUGCAAGUCGAACGAUGCCUUCGGGCAUAGUGGCGCACGGGUGCGUAACGCGUGGGAAUCUGCCUUUCGGUUCGGAGUAACUCAGGGAAACUUGAGCUAAUACCGGAUAACGUCGCAAGACCAAAGAUUUAUCACCGUAAGAUGAGCCCGCGUAGGAUUAGCUAGUUGGUGAGGUAAAGGCUCACCAAGGCGACGAUCCUUAGCUGGUCUGAGAGGAUGAUCAGCCACACUGGGACUGAGACACGGCCCAGACUCCUACGGGAGGCAGCAGUGGGGAAUAUUGGACAAUGGGCGAAAGCCUGAUCCAGCAAUGCCGCGUGAGUGAUGAAGGCCUUAGGGUUGUAAAGCUCUUUUACCCGGGAAGAUAAUGACGGUACCGGGAGAAUAAGCCCCGGCUAACUCCGUG
This 433-nucleotide ribosomal RNA is filed under the name uncultured bacterium. RNAcentral's name for it is "partial 16S ribosomal RNA". It matches the Rfam family "Bacterial small subunit ribosomal RNA", at positions 29 to 507 of the family's 1533-position model. The record is from RNAcentral.